This 531-nucleotide long non-coding RNA is filed under the name Hordeum vulgare. RNAcentral's name for it is "long non-coding RNA (HVUL_LNC014826)". Lineage: Eukaryota; Viridiplantae; Streptophyta; Magnoliopsida; Poales; Poaceae. The record is from RNAcentral.
GCUGAUGCAAAGAUGGACUGAGAUGCAUGUUUGGUGGACUGUAGGAUAUAUAUGCACCUGGGAUGCUGUAUACAACAGAUAUUAUUUGGUAGACUGAAUUAGAGCAUCUAUAGAUGCUCUUAGAACUUAAUUUCAUGGACAAAGAAAACAAGCAAAACAAAUCAAAUCUGAACCUGGUGCUGCUUCCUAGCGCAUUAUACAUGCUGAUGCUCUUCGUGGAUUAAACAAGUCGCACGCCGAGGACACUGUGCCGCAUGUCGGUAUAGUUGUAGCUCGUCGUGGUGUCCAUGGCAAGCACAUCGUGGUUGCCUCCGCGCGAGCUUCAAUCGCCACCGCACCCGUCCUCUCCAUGACGAUGUCGCGACACGCCGGGUGUUCCUGUCGAGCCGGCUCCUGCUGAGAACACGUCCGGCAGCCGGGAUUGAGCGCGGACAGACGGGCGGGCGGUGGUGUCGUAGCGGACGAGGAAUCUCGUUCCGGUGGCGGCGGCGCGUUGUGUGCUCGAUCUGAUCUGGUUCAGUUGGGAGAGAG